ACGGAAGGCAGCAGUGGGGAAUAUUGCACAAUGGGGGCAACCCUGAUGCAGCGAUGCCGCGUGGAGGAAGAAGGUUUUCGGAUUGUAGACUCCUGUCUUAAAGGACGAUAAUGACGGUACUUUAGGAGGAAGCUCCGGCUAGCUACGUGCCAGCAGCCGCAGUAAUACGUAGGGAGCGAGCGUUGUCCGGAAUUACUGGGUGUAAAGGGAGCGUAGGCGGGACGGCAAGUCAGAUGUGAAAUACAUGGGCUCAACCCAUGGGCUGCAUUUGAAACUGCUGUGCUUGAGUGAAGUAGAGGUAAGCGGAAUUCCUGGUGUAGCGGUGAAAUGCGUAGAUAUCAGGAGGAACACCGGUGGCGAGGGCGGCUUACUGGGCUUUUACUGACGCUGAGGCUCGAAAGCGUGGGGAGCAAACAGGAUUAGAUACCCUGGUA
Molecule: ribosomal RNA, 434 nt
Filed under: uncultured Ruminococcus sp.
Lineage: Bacteria; Bacillati; Bacillota; Clostridia; Eubacteriales; Oscillospiraceae
Description: partial 16S ribosomal RNA
Rfam family: Bacterial small subunit ribosomal RNA
Source: RNAcentral